RNAcentral lists this non-coding RNA (103 nucleotides) under Dasypus novemcinctus (nine-banded armadillo). RNAcentral's name for it is "U4atac minor spliceosomal RNA (ENSDNOG00000030443.1)". It matches the Rfam family "U4atac minor spliceosomal RNA". Rfam says of the family: U4atac is an essential component of the minor U12-type spliceosome complex which is required for removal of the rarer class of eukaryotic introns (AT-AC, U12-type). These interacting stem loops have been shown to be required for in vivo splicing. U4atac also contains an 3' Sm protein binding site which has been shown to be essential for splicing activity. Lineage: Eukaryota; Metazoa; Chordata; Mammalia; Cingulata; Dasypodidae. The record is from RNAcentral.
ACCAUCCUUUUCUUGGGGUUGUGCUACUGUCCAAUGAACACCUGGUGAGAGCAGUACUGCUAACGUCUACUAAAAGUAAAUAGAUAAAUAAAAUUAAGAAGAA